Long non-coding RNA from Gallus gallus (chicken), 4068 nucleotides. Lineage: Eukaryota; Metazoa; Chordata; Aves; Galliformes; Phasianidae. The record is from Ensembl.
AACAGAGCAAGUUUUGCCUUCUUCCUUGACCUUUUCCAGGAAUGAAGAAGAAAAUGUUUGUGUAAUGAGUUCUCCAAGAUAAAACAGCCCAUCUGAUUACAGAUUUUCUGUUUGUUCUCCUUUCCUUGACUCUGUGUUGAUUUAAGAUUGUUUUCAAUUAGGCUCUCUUUGGCUGAGGCUGAGUACAGUGAUUGUUGAAGCCCUGGGUGAGCAGCACCUCUCCUCUCUCAGUCUUAUGUCUGGUUUGAAGUGUCUGUUAUAGUACUGAUGAAGCACAUGCCUCUUAAUGCCAAUGGUUCAGCUUGUAAGGGCUGAGGAAGCAUGUGGGCAGUUUGAGUAUAUUAACCCACAUCAGGGUGCUGCAGUGUGGAAGAUUAUGCCUUGACAUCAUUUUUCAAAGACCACAUCACAGCUCUUCUGUCUUGCUAAGUGGAAGUAUAAAGAUUGGUCUUCUUCAGAAUGGCUGUGAAGCCAUGUGUGGUGAUUUUAUCAGUAUUCCACUUUUGCUGUGAAGCAGUGCUUUCAGGACUCACUGACUGCCUUUAUUUUAAUGGGUUCAUCCUGGUACCUGUGGGAUUGAGUGCAGUCUCAACAAGUUUCUAGAUGAGAUUAACCUGAGUGGUGCAGUUGAUAUGACAGAAUGAAGGGAUGCUAUCUAGAGGGACCCAGAGUGACUUGAAAGAUAGGCCCAUGUGAACCUACUGAGAUUCAACAAGGCCAAGUGCUAGGUGCUGUGCUUGCAUUGAGGAAAUUCCAGAUAUGUAUAGAGACUGGGAGAAGAACUCCUUGAGACCAGCCAGGUCAAGAAAAACUUGGUGGUUCCAGUAGAUGAAAAGUUGGACAUGAGGCAGAGGUGUGCACUUGCUGCCAGGAAGGCCAACUGUAUCCUGAGCUCUAUCAAAAGAUGGGUGGCCAACAGGGCAAGGAAGGUGAUUGGCCCCCUCUGCUCUACCCUCGUAAUGAUCACCAGACCUGGGACACCUAACACAGAAAAGAUGUGGAGCUGUUGGAACAGUUCCAGAGGAGGGCUGCUAAGAUGGUCAGAGUGUUGGAGCACCUCUCCUACAAAGACAGGCUGAGGGAGCUGGGCUUCUUCAGCUUAAGAAGAGAAGACUCCUGGGAGACCUCAUUGAGACAUUCCCACCGCUGCCAGACUUCUUUGUUGACUGACCUAGCACAUUAACCGAGUAGAAUGCUAAUCCAGAAAAAGAAAUAUGGUUUCCUGCACAAUCACCAUGAAGAAAUGGUUCAAGAUCCAGAAGGGAAGUGGAAACUCACAACUGAGGAGAUGGGAAAACGUAAGGAAGAGUGAAAUGACAGCAGUGAGAUAUAGCUGUGCUAAAAAUAAGACUAUUCAGAUCUUAUCAACUUGUAGUUUUUGUGAUGCUGAAUUAUGAAUCAAUACAAUAUUACUGUACGGCAGAGAACUAAAGUUAGUUUUGCCAAAUAAUAGAACACUUGUAUAAUGUGAUACUAUGAGAAGAUGAAGUCUAACAAGUUCUGCUAGUUGUUAUAUGUUACAGGAGUUGUGUUUUUCAAGUCAAAGAUUGUAGUUCAUUCAACAAAGAGCCAAGUAUAUUAAAGUUAAUGCCAACAGUUCUGAAGAGAAAAAGGUGUCUUAGUGCUGUUAUUUUGAUCCACAGAAUUAGAGUACAAAAAUGGGAGUUAGGAGAAAGUAGGUAGUUUCUGCAGAAAGAUGUAUGAAAAUACAUCGGAAGUAAAUAGAGAGUGUAUAGUUGUGCUUAGUGAGGUCUCAGACUGGUGUUUCUAUUUUUGGAAGAAGGAAAGAUGAUAAAUCUGAUGAAACAAAGGAAAUAAUAGAGCAAGGGGAAGGCUGCUUUGGAAGAAAAUUUCAAGAACAAAAUAUAACUGACAAUCCAAAAGGAGCAGUAAAGUGAGGAAUGUAUAAGCUAAAAAAAAAAUAAUUACAAUUUGUAGAAGCUAGGAUCUCUGAAAUGCAGUGCCACACUCAUUUUCCUCACUUAGGCAUAGAAGGCAAGCUUUUAGAAUGCCCUGCUGCUGUGUAGUGUGGCUACUGGCUCGAAACCUGAAUGGCUCAGAGGAUGGAGCACCAAUCUGCUAUUUCUGAACAGAAGCACUAAUUGUAGUAUGAGGUUGCCAUGACAGCAAGUAACUUUCUUCCUUGUUUGGCUGAGCUUAUGCCAGAUAAAAGAAGGAUCUGAAGUUUUAUUCAGUAUCCUUCCUGUUACCCUGAGUGGAAAUGCACAAAAAUUAAAUCCUCUUCUUGCCUAGUAACUUUAUACCACUUCCCACUAUCCAUUCUAACUCAGUGCAACUUCAAAGUACAACCUCAUACGUAUCUCUACACAUGUUAUGUAUAUGUAUAAAUGAUAAAUGUAUAUACAUUAUACAUAUAUAAAUUAUUUAUGUAUAUAUAUUAUUUAUACAUAUACAUUUUACCAAAAUUUAUUAUCAAAAUGCCACCUGCAAUGCUCAUGGUAAGACUGGACACUUAAGAAAAAAAUCAAGUAGGUCUGAUCCUGAUAAUUUAGAAAACUGAGCAUUCUAGAAGCAAUCUUUCUACUGAGUUGUGAGAAACUAGACACACUUCUGUUUCAUUGGGCUCAAGCACCAACCCCUGGAUGGAUUAACUGAUCCAGAGGGCUCAAGUGAGGUAGGAAAACAUAACCAUAUUCCUUAUAGAAGAUUAGAAAUUUAUAAAGUGUGGGAAACAAAUUGCCCAUGGCAAGUUUUCCACAAUGGAAAGGGAGAUAAUCAGCUUCUCCUUUUCUAUUUGUGAAACGAAAAAGUGUUGGUAACUUAGCAAGAAAAAUAUUUUAGUCUACAUGAAGCAAAAAGCAGGGGCAGUGUGUACUGUAGCUUACUUAAUGACUAUUAACAUAGAAUAUGAUUUCUGGAAAAAAGCUUCUGAGCUUUGGAAGAUAAGACAAUAAUGAUUUCAAUUUCAGAGAUUUUCAUGGAAAACAGGUUAAAAAAAAAAAAGAUGUUUUGUUAAUGAAAAGAAGUAUUUUAACUCCUACUAAAUACCAACUCUGAAUCUAUUUAUGUAAAAACUGGAGUCACUAAAGAGUUUUAAUAAACUAAAAGUACAAAAUAUUGUCCACAUUUCAGAACAAAAUUGAGUUAAGUUUGAAAUACAGUCAAUACUAAAAUAGUUUUUCAGUGUUGUGGUUUCUAAAAGCAGCUAUGGAACAAAUAUUUCUUCAGUGGUUAUCAUUUUUUUUAAAGCUGGCAUGGUAUCCAUUACAGCUCUGUAAAAUAUUUGUAUUUCUCUCUGAAUCAAUGCAGAAUGACUCUCAGUUAACAUUCUGUUCUUUCUCAUACCCAAGCAAAUGCGGAUAAUAUUUACUUAUCAGAUAAGCUGGCAGAUCCCCUCCCAUCAAAGGCCCUCCCACACUCCAUCCCAAAGGCAGUUCUGUGGCCCAUUAGCUCCCUGGUGCCCUCUAAAGCUUGUGAAAAAGAAUACUGAGAUUUUUCAAAAGACAAUGAUCAUGGAGGGGUUAGGAUUUAUACCAGCACGGUGUUCCUAAAUCCACUAUCAAAAUGAAUUUUACAGAGCAGGGGAGUGUAUAAGUAAAUCAGAGACUGGAUUGUUGAGGUGGGAAAAGGAGUUUAGAUUUUACAUUAACUUAUCAUAGAUUGCUGUGAGUUUUAUGUUGUGUUCUCUGCUAAAAACUAUAAUGUAACUGACUGACAGCGUGUUGGCCUCCACUGAAUCUUUCUUAAGCAGAAAGACUGUGAAGACUGGUUCAUGAGAGCUUGAACAAGAAAUACUAGUUGACUGGGGAAUAACUAACUUCCGAAUUCAUUGGGAAGCAAAUAAUUUUAUGCAAAUGGUUUAAGGCACACACAGAAAAUCAAGAAUAGAAUCAUGAAUAUUUUGUGUGUUUAUCAAGCAUGUAUGAGCAUGAGCUGUGAAGGGGAUUAAAACCUCAGACAAGUAAAAUUAUUUUUGGAGGGAAUAAAACCCUUCAAGCUGUUUUUUUAAUUAAACAGACUGUUGUCAAUUUUCACUUUUUCAGUGAACAACAAUCAAACACUUAAUUGCUGUGUUCAUAAUUGUUACUGUUCAAAUAUGUUUUCAUA